UCGACGCCGCCAAGGAGCUCGGCGUGCCGUGCGCGCUCUUCUGGACGGCCAGCGCCUGCGGCUACAUGGGCUACCGCAACUUCCGCCCCCUGAUCGACCAAGGCAUCAUCCCCCUCAAAGGUAAUCAAUCCUCUGUUUUUCCUAAAAUACAGAGUAACUCCCAAUUCUUACCUGCAAAUUUGCAACAUGGUCUUGAAUCUUGAGUAUCUCAACAAUUCUUUUGUGGGGAACAGAUGAAGAGCAAAUGACGAACGGGUUCAUGGACACACCGGUGGACUGGGCGCCCGGCAUGAGCAAGCACAUGCGGCUGAAAGACUUCCCCAGCUUCCUCCGCACGACUGACCCCCAAGACACCCUCAUGACCUUCCAGCUGCACGAAGUGGAGCGCGCC
This 391-nucleotide long non-coding RNA is filed under the name Brachypodium distachyon (stiff brome). RNAcentral's name for it is "long non-coding RNA (BDIS_LNC003905)". Lineage: Eukaryota; Viridiplantae; Streptophyta; Magnoliopsida; Poales; Poaceae. The record is from RNAcentral.